RNAcentral lists this long non-coding RNA (838 nucleotides) under Brassica napus (rape). RNAcentral describes it as "long non-coding RNA (BNAP_LNC023834)". Lineage: Eukaryota; Viridiplantae; Streptophyta; Magnoliopsida; Brassicales; Brassicaceae. The record is from RNAcentral.
GGUUAUGUAUCUAGUCUUUAAAAAGAAACUCAUAUGACAAAAAUGUCCAUUUCAUGUAUCUGAUAUCAUCAUUUUUUUUUGGUCAGGUAUUUCUCGUCUUCUCCAUCACCAACUGAGCCAGGGAAGCUUCAGAUUCCAGCUUCGAAAGGAGACGCCCUCGAACCAAAGGCAUCUGAGCAAAACAACCAACACGGAAACAGCCCGGCCGUGCUAUCACCUCCUGGAAAAAUGAGGAGAGUGAUGGGUCCUGAGGGAUAAUACCUGAGGGUCUUCAUUUGUGGUAGUAUAUACAAUCAAUAGCUUUGAUUGGAUUUUUUGACAAUAAUUUCCAUUUCAUCUCUGAUAUCUUCAUUUUUAAUUUGGUCAGGUAUUUCUCGUCUUCUCCAUCACCAACUGAGCCAGGGAAGCUUCAGAUUCCAGCUUCGAAAGGAGACGCCCUCGAACCAAAGGCAUCUGAGCAAAACAACCAACACGGAAACAGCCCCGCCGUGCUAUCACCUCCUGGAAAAAUGAGGAGAGUGAUGGGUCCUGAGGGAUAAUACCUGAGGGUCUUCGUUUGUGGUAGUAUAUACAAUCAAUAGCUUUGAUUGGAUUUUUUUGCAGUAACUCUAGCGUCAGUUUGUAAUGCCGCCUUCUGCAAAUUAGUUACCAGUCAAAACUUAUCAGAAAGAACAAAAGGCAAAAAGAAAGAGAGAAACAUUCUCAUUUAGAAAUUUAGAUGAAAAGCAAGUCCAAUCACAAAUAAACAAUGAGAAAUCGGCCAAAAAAACACUGAACUUUGCGGGAAUUGCCAAAAGAAACCUGUACUCGAACCAGACCAAUAAAACUCUGAUCUUUU